GUCGCCCAGCCAGUAUGACCCUCGGCUUGUAACCGAGUGGGUUCGGGUUCGAAUCCCGAGUAAGACA
This is a non-coding RNA of Trichonephila inaurata madagascariensis, 67 nucleotides long. Lineage: Eukaryota; Metazoa; Arthropoda; Arachnida; Araneae; Nephilidae. The record is from the annotation of a GenBank genome assembly.